Molecule: ribosomal RNA, 305 nt
Filed under: uncultured bacterium
Lineage: Bacteria
Description: bacterial SSU rRNA
Rfam family: Bacterial small subunit ribosomal RNA
Source: RNAcentral
CCUACGGGAGGCAGCAGUGAGGAAUAUUGGUCAAUGGGCUUACGCCUGAACCAGCCAAGUCGCGUGAGGGAAGACUGCCCUAUGGAUUGUAAACCUCUUUUGCCGGGGAGCAAAAGCGGUACGCGUACCGCAUCGAGAGUACCCGGAGAAAAAGCAUCGGCUAACUCCGUGCCAGCAGCCGCGGUAAUACGGAGGAUGCGAGCGUUAUCCGGAUUUAUUGGGUUUAAGGGGUGCGCAGGCGGCGAGUUAAGUCAGCGGUAAAAUUUCGGGGCUCAACCCCGACAAGCCGUUGAAACUGGCUUGCU